RNAcentral lists this ribosomal RNA (492 nucleotides) under uncultured bacterium. RNAcentral's name for it is "partial 16S ribosomal RNA". It matches the Rfam family "Bacterial small subunit ribosomal RNA", at positions 29 to 507 of the family's 1533-position model. The record is from RNAcentral.
AGUGAACGCUGGCGGUAGGCCUAACACAUGCAAGUCGAACGGCAGCACAGUAAGAGCUUGCUCUUACGGGUGGCGAGUGGCGGACGGGUGAGGAAUACAUCGGAAUCUACUUUUUCGGGGGGGAUAACGUAGGGAAACUUACGCUAAUACCGCAUACGACCUACGGGUGAAAGCAGGGGAUCUUCGGACCUUGCGCGAUUGAAUGAGCCGAUGCCGGAUUAGCUAGGUGGCGGGGUAAAGGCCCACCAAGGCGACGAUCCGUAGCUGGUCUGAGAGGAUGGUCAGCCCCACUGGAACUGAGACACGGUCCAGACUCCUACGGGAGGCAGCAGUGGGGAAUAUUGGACCAUGGGCGCAAGCCUGAUCCAGCCAUCCCGCGUGGGUGAAGAAGGCCUUCGGGUUGUAAAGCCCUUUUGUUGGGAAAGAAAAGCAGCAGGUUAAUACCCCGCUGUUCUGACGGUACCCAAAGAAUAAGCACCGGCUAACUUCGUG